GGGGUCGUAGCUCAGUUGGUUAGAGUGCCGGCCUGUCACGCCGGAGGUCGCGAGUUCAAGUCUCGUCGGCCCCGCCA
RNAcentral lists this transfer RNA (77 nucleotides) under Dethiosulfovibrio marinus. RNAcentral's name for it is "tRNA-Asp". It matches the Rfam family "tRNA". Rfam says of the family: Transfer RNA (tRNA) molecules are approximately 80 nucleotides in length. Their secondary structure includes four short double-helical elements and three loops (D, anti-codon, and T loops). Lineage: Bacteria; Thermotogati; Synergistota; Synergistia; Synergistales; Dethiosulfovibrionaceae. The record is from RNAcentral. RNAcentral also lists the same sequence under 7 other names.